Molecule: ribosomal RNA, 259 nt
Filed under: uncultured prokaryote
Description: partial 16S ribosomal RNA
Rfam family: Bacterial small subunit ribosomal RNA
Source: RNAcentral
UACGUAGGUGGCAAGCGUUGUCCGGAUUUAUUGGGCGUAAAGCGAGCGCAGGCGGUUCCUUAAGUCUGAUGUGAAAGCCCACGGCUCAACCGUGGAAGGUCAUUGGAAACUGGGGAACUUGAGUGCAGAAGAGGAGAGUGGAAUUCCAUGUGUAGCGGUGAAAUGCGUAGAUAUAUGGAGGAACACCAGUGGCGAAGGCGACUCUCUGGUCUGUAACUGACGCUGAGGCUCGAAAGCGUGGGGAGCAAACAGGAUUAGA